UUUUGCAAAUCUAAUGGACGGAUUUGAACCAGCUAUCUAAGGAUCUUGAUAAUACAUCUACAGUCCUUCGCUCUGCCAACUGAGCUAUCUA
Molecule: transfer RNA, 91 nt
Filed under: Cordylochernes scorpioides
Lineage: Eukaryota; Metazoa; Arthropoda; Arachnida; Pseudoscorpiones; Chernetidae
Description: tRNA-Tyr
Source: RNAcentral